UGCCCGAAAGGGUGACGAUGCGACGCCGCGUGAGCGAAGAAGGCCCUAGGGUUGUAAAGCUCUGUCAGGGGUUAAGAAAUGUAGAUAGGUUAAUACCCUGUUUAUUUGACAAAAGCCCCAAAGGAAGCCACGGCUAACUCUGUGCCAGCAGCCGCGGUAAUACAGAGGUGGCAAGCGUUGUUCGGUAUUAUUGGGCGUAAGGAGCACGUAGGUGGUUUUGUAAGUCAGAUGUGAAAGCCUUCUGUUCAAAGGAAGAACGGCAUCUGAAACUGCAAAUCUUGAGUGUAGGAGGGGAGAGUGGAACUUCUGGUGGAGCGGUGAAAUGCGUAGAUAUCAGAAGGAACGUCGGCGGCGAAAGCGACUCUCUGGCCUAUUACUGACACUGAGUGUGCGAAAGUUAGGGGAGCAAACGGGAUUAGAUACCCCGGUAGUCCUAACCGUAAACGAUGGGCACUAAGUAGAGGGGU
This 467-nucleotide ribosomal RNA is filed under the name uncultured Planctomycetota bacterium. RNAcentral's name for it is "bacterial SSU rRNA". It matches the Rfam family "Bacterial small subunit ribosomal RNA", at positions 372 to 829 of the family's 1533-position model. The record is from RNAcentral. Lineage: Bacteria; Pseudomonadati; Planctomycetota.